GAUGAACGCUGGCGGCGUGCUUAACACAUGCAAGUCGAGCGGAGAUAAAUUGAAAGCUUGCUUUUAAUUUAUCUUAGCGGCGGACGGGUGAGUAACGUGUGGGCAACCUGCCUCAUACAGAGGGAUAAUCAUGUGAAAACGUGACUAAUACCGCAUGUCGUUUCGGGAGGGCAUCCUCCUGAAAGAAAAGGAGCAAUCCGGUAUGAGAUGGGCCCGCAUCUGAUUAGCUAGUUGGUGAGAUAACAGCCCACCAAGGCGACGAUCAGUAGCCGACCUGAGAGGGUGAUCGGCCACAUUGGGACUGAGACACGGCCCAAACUCCUACGGGAGGCAGCAGUGGGGAAUAUUGCACAAUGGGGGAAACCCUGAUGCAGCAACGCCGCGUGAAGGAAGACGGUUUUCGGAUUAUAAACUUCUAUCAAUAGGGACGAAGAAAGUGACUGUACCUAAAUAAGAAGCCCCGGCUAACUACGUGCCAGCAGCCGCAGUAA
RNAcentral lists this ribosomal RNA (491 nucleotides) under uncultured bacterium. RNAcentral describes it as "partial 16S ribosomal RNA". It matches the Rfam family "Bacterial small subunit ribosomal RNA", at positions 28 to 523 of the family's 1533-position model. The record is from RNAcentral.